RNAcentral lists this small nuclear RNA (163 nucleotides) under Rhipicephalus sanguineus (brown dog tick). Its description in RNAcentral is "U1 spliceosomal RNA". It matches the Rfam family "U1 spliceosomal RNA". Rfam says of the family: U1 is a small nuclear RNA (snRNA) component of the spliceosome (involved in pre-mRNA splicing). Its 5' end forms complementary base pairs with the 5' splice junction, thus defining the 5' donor site of an intron. There are significant differences in sequence and secondary structure between metazoan and yeast U1 snRNAs, the latter being much longer (568 nucleotides as compared to 164 nucleotides in human). The record is from Rfam by way of RNAcentral. Lineage: Eukaryota; Metazoa; Arthropoda; Arachnida; Ixodida; Ixodidae.
AUACUUACCUGGUGUCGGGCCGUCCGGUGAUCAGCAAGGCCGGGGUCCCGUGCCGAGGCCAACCAUUGCACUACGGUUGGCUGACGCACGCCACUUUCCCAAACAGGGAUAGAUGGGGCAUGUAAUUUUUGGUAGUGGGGCUUGGCGUUCGCGCCAGCCCCUG